Molecule: long non-coding RNA, 3391 nt
Organism: Chenopodium quinoa (quinoa)
Lineage: Eukaryota; Viridiplantae; Streptophyta; Magnoliopsida; Caryophyllales; Amaranthaceae
Exons: 5
Source: RefSeq, a predicted model, not a curated record
AUUUUAUUUUCCCCCUUUUUUAACAGGGUUUUAAAUUGAAUUUUAAAUUGGGUUUUCUAUGCGUAUUAUGAUUUUUACGUGGAGUUGUUAAAAUUAAAUAGUUAAUAAUAUAUUUUGAUUGAUUUUUCCUAAUUAUAUAUGAAAAUGAUGGAUUUUGGGAAUUUUAUUUUCAUAUUUAAUUAUGAAGUAAUCAAGAAAACAGAGGAAGUAGUUGUCUUCUUUCAAUAUAUGCUAAAAAUCUAUAAUUUAUUUUUAUGUUCUAACCGUGUAUCGCACGACACUAACCUAGUGUAUUUUAUAAGCAUAAAAUGAAACAAAUCUAACAAGAUUUCACAUGACUGUUUUUUUUUUUAGCAAAUUCAAGUUUAUAACUCUAAGAAACAAACGACAUUUAUCAAGGGGCCUUUAAGUACUUUCUUGUGUAAAGUUGUGUUUCCUGAUGCAUGACAUCUAGUGUAGGAACUUGGUCGGAAUGCGAAAAGGAAAAGGAUUAGUGAUAAGGUAUUGGUUGAACUUUGGUUUAUGAGUACAUAAUACUUUUGUAUUUUGAAGUUUGUGUUAUGAACUUUGUAUUAUGUACUUACUGUGAUGAAUCUUGAAGUUUGUGUUAUGAACUUUGUGUUAUGUACUUAUUGUGAAGAAUCUUGAACUUUGUUUUAUGAAAAGGGUGGGAGGGAGAAGAGUGGCGAGAUUGGACCGCUGUAUCCAGAGCUGUUUAAGGUAAUUGUCUGAUUGUGAAUGCAUUUUUCUGUGUUUGGUUGGUGGUCUACAGUGUUUGACUGCAUAUGUGUGUGCAGCCUUCAUUGUUGUUGUACGUAUUUGUGAAUUUGAAGGAUGAUCGCAUGAGAAUUAGUGGGUUAGUAAAAGCUAGUGGUGAAGUGUUGAAACAUCAUUCAAUUGGUACCUCUAAGGUUUGUGUUCUUGUAUUUUCAAGUAAAUGACGUAAUUUGGCUUUAAUAGAAUAGUAAUGUAGGAUUAUGUGCAAGCUCCAAACUUAACGUGUCGCAUAUUGUCAUUCGGUAGAAUUUGUCAGAAGUUUAAUGGGAGACAUAGGCUCUGGUUAACUGAAAUGGGGUUUGGGGGUCUAUUACACCUCGCUUCCUCAGGGAUGCAGUUGCCUAGGGAAUUAGCAUAUUGGCUACUGACUCACGUUGAUCCGGUUAGCAAAAUUCUAAUUUCCCCGGAUGGGAAAGAAUUUAGUUUGUCCGCAAACCAAGUGUAUUAUGUCUUAGGAAUUCCAAAUGGUGGGAAGCCAGUUCCUACGAAGAACAACAUGACCUCUGAAAUGAAGGACAAGGUUGAAGCAUUACUGAGUCAGUAUGGUAGUUCGUGGGAAACUAGGUGUAGUAGAUAUGAAGGGCGGGUCUACACUAGUAAGGGUAUAUAUGUUAAUCAUGAGUUAAUGGAAAGACUUGAGGGUGAAUGGAUGGAUGGAUGGUGAGGAAGUUAAAUUUAAGACUUUAUUUCUAUUAAUGUCUCUACAUAUGGUUCUAUGCCCCACCCAAUCCCCUGGACUCUCGGCGGAUCUUGUUCCUGCGUUAACAUGUACACAAGAGUGUAAUGAAUAUGAUUGAUGUGGGUUGGUUGUGUCGAAGUUAUUUUGUAGUGUGACAACAUUUGCCCGCCAGGUUUUAUGCCAAAGGUUCUGCUGGAGGAUGUGGAGGAUGCUUGUUAUUCAUUGUGGUUUUGUAUUAGACCGGCUGAAUAAGGUUCCAUUGCAGCGAGGAAUGUUUCCUAGGCUGAAGGUGUGGAAUAUGCAAGAGAUCAAGUCUAUUGCUAGCCUGGAUCGACAGUUUCCUACUAAUGAUUGAUGUGGCAUACGGAGAAGACCAUCCGAGGGAGACUCUGUAUAGCAAUGGUCCUAGUGUGAUGUACAACCAGGGGACGAGGAAAUUCCAUAUACAUUUAAAGCACCUAAGGCAAGGAGGAUGAGAUAUGCUGGAAUUCCUUGUUUUGUUAGAACCCGAUAUUCUAUAGAUAUGUCCGGCCCAACAUAUGAUUUUGACGCGUUUCGCAUUGGCAAUGGAAACAACUUACCUAAUGGUGGAGAAUGAAUGACCACCAUGGUUGUGCUUUACAAGGAGGGGUUUUUCCCGUAUACUGAGUUUAUCUUUCUAGUUGGAUGACAAAAGCGGCUGUUAUUGUAAUGUACCAUUAAGAUUCACAUAUUUAUUGGUGUUCCAUAAUUGGAUUAUCUGUUGAGUAAAGGGUGGGUUCCAAGGAGGAGUUGCGAGAGGAUUUGGCCUGCUUGUUGGGAUUAAAGAUGGAGAAGGGGUUGGGGAUGGGGCAUCGAUGUCCUGCACGGGUGAAGGGUUAUAUGUUUCAUAAUUUGAAACCAUUUUCUAGAGAGGGUUUGGGGAAGGAGGAUCCAAUGUUCUAGUGUUUGAGAACAGGGGACAAAGAGGGUUUGAAGAAGAAGGAUUGAGGAUAAUUCGAAGAACGUUUGUGAAUUGGGCCGUUUAGUAUGCCUGGGCCAAAAACAGUAAUUCGCAUAAUGGUCGAAAAUGAGCUGGGUCUUUUAUAUGGGUUAUGUUAGACAAUUUUUUGGCUUGGGCUUUAUUAUCUACAAUGUUUACAAUGUAUGAAAAUCGUGGAAUUAUUCCUCCACAAGUACUAAGAGAAGUAUUUGGCAUAAGUUUAGUGGAUCCUUUUGGAAAUGGCCAGUUUGUCAAGCCAAGGGCUCAUUCAAAGAAUUUUGGCAUUUGUUUAUGAACACUUUCGAUAAAUGGAUAAUUCGUACGUUGGACUGGCCCAUUUCAAAACAUGUUAAGAUUACAAACAUUACAUAUAUGGCACUGAUAAAAGACAAAACGAACUUACUAAUGAGAAACUUACUAUUGACAACACUAACUUACUAAUGACAUUCUUACUAAUAAGCUAAGAUGUUACAACAUUCAUUGAGUUGUCUUCUAGAUCAUUGUUGACGGAUAAAUUCUUAGAAUGGAUAACUAGCAACACCCCUCCAAAGACACCAUACUCAGAUCUUCAGGUUGAUUUGUAUAUGUUCACAUCGCUACAGAUGAAACGGCCCAUACGGACAAAAGAUCUAGUCUCGGUCAACACAAUUAAAUCAGGCAUGUGUAGGUCAAGCAUGCUCAAAUUGGGGUAGAAAUGAGGACCUUGCUACAUCUCUGCAAUUCGAAACCAUAACCCUCGUACCCCCCAUUCUUUGAGAGUAUCCUUUGUAUGGCUAUCUUCAAAGCAGCUGGUAAGUGUACCAAAUCUAAUAGAUCUGGUAAGUGAAUUGGGACGAUGGAGUUAUUCUUUAGUAAUAACAGGUCGUCAGCUGGUCGUUGGCCAGUGGCUAUCCAGGAAGCUGCAAUUGAUGCAGUGAUCAUCUCUACACUAAUUGACUGAAGUUCUCCUUUCUAUAUUGGCUGUAUAAUAGCCA